This 224-nucleotide ribosomal RNA is filed under the name uncultured bacterium. RNAcentral describes it as "partial 16S ribosomal RNA". It matches the Rfam family "Bacterial small subunit ribosomal RNA", at positions 794 to 1026 of the family's 1533-position model. The record is from RNAcentral.
UCCACACCGUAAACGAUGGACACUAGUUGUCGGGGAGCUUGCCUCUUCGGUGACGAAGCUAACGCAUUAAGUGUCCCGCCUGGGGAGUACGUCCGCAAGGAUGAAACCCAAAGGAAUUGACGGGGCCCGCACAAGCGGUGAGCAUGUGCUUAAUUCGAUCAACGCGAAGAACCUACCUGUCUUGACAUACACUGACCUAUCAGAGAUGUAUUUUUUCUCGGAGA